CAGGCUUAACACAUGCAAGUCGAGGGGCAGCAUUUUAGUUUGCUUGCAAACUGAAGAUGGCGACCGGCGCACGGGUGAGUAGCACGUAUCCAACCUGCCGAUAACUCCGGAAUAGCCUUUCGAAAGAAAGAUUAAUACCGGAUGGCAUACGAAUAUCGCAUGAUAUUUUUAUUAAAGAAUUUCGGUUAUCGAUGGGGAUGCGUUCCAUUAGUUUGUUGGCGGGGUAACGGCCCACCAAGACUACGAUGGAUAGGGGUUCUGAGAGGAAGGUCCCCCACAUUGGAACUGAGACACGGUCCAAACUCCUACGGGAGGCAGCAGUGAGGAAUAUUGGUCAAUGGGCGCGAGCCUGAACCAGCCAAGUAGCGUGAAGGAUGAAGGCUCUAUGGGUCGUAAACUUCUUUUAUAUGGGAAUAAAGUUUUCCACGUGUGGAAUUUUGUAUGUACCAUAUGAAUAAGGAUCGGCUAACUCCGUGCCAGCAGCCGCGGUAAUACGGAGGAUCCGAGCGUUAUCCGGAUUUAUUGGGUUUAAAGGGAGCGUAGGUGGAUUGUUAAGUCAGUUGUGAAAGUUUGCGGCUCAACCGUAAAAUUGCAGUUGAAACUGGCAGUCUUGAGUACAGUAGAGGUGGGCGGAAUUCGUGGUGUAGCGGUGAAAUGCUUAGAUAUCACGAAGAACUCCGAUUGCGAAGGCAGCUCACUAGACUGUCACUGACACUGAUGCUCGAAAGUGUGGGUAUCAAACAGGAUUAGAUACCCUGGUAGUCCACACAGUAAACGAUGAAUACUCGCUGUUUGCGAUAUACAGUAAGCGGCCAAGCGAAAGCAUUAAGUAUUCCACCUGGGGAGUACGCCGGCAACGGUGAAACUCAAAGGAAUUGACGGGGGCCCGCACAAGCGGAGGAACAUGUGGUUUAAUUCGAUGAUACGCGAGGAACCUUACCCGGGCUUAAAUUGCAACAGAAUAUAUUGGAAACAGUAUAGCCGUAAGGCUGUUGUGAAGGUGCUGCAUGGUUGUCGUCAGCUCGUGCCGUGAGGUGUCGGCUUAAGUGCCAUAACGAGCGCAACCCUUAUCUUUAGUUACUAACAGGUCAUGCUGAGGACUCUAGAGAGACUGCCGUCGUAAGAUGUGAGGAAGGUGGGGAUGACGUCAAAUCAGCACGGCCCUUACGUCCGGGGCUACACACGUGUUACAAUGGGGGGUACAGAAGGCGGCUACCUGGUGACAGGAUGCUAAUCCCAAAAACCUCUCUCAGUUCGGAUCGAAGUCUGCAACCCGACUUCGUGAAGCUGGAUUCGCUAGUAAUCGCGCAUCAGCCAUGGCGCGGUGAAUACGUUCCCGGGCCUUGUACACACCGCCCGUCAAGCCAUGAAAGCCGGGGGUACCUGAAGUACGUAACCGCAAGGAGCGUCCUAGGGUAAAACUGGUAAUUGGGGCUAAG
RNAcentral lists this ribosomal RNA (1439 nucleotides) under uncultured organism. RNAcentral's name for it is "16S ribosomal RNA". It matches the Rfam family "Bacterial small subunit ribosomal RNA". The record is from RNAcentral.